UGAAAAUCAAAUAUGUUGAAU
Molecule: non-coding RNA, 21 nt
Filed under: Caenorhabditis elegans
Lineage: Eukaryota; Metazoa; Nematoda; Chromadorea; Rhabditida; Rhabditidae
Source: RNAcentral